This 594-nucleotide ribosomal RNA is filed under the name uncultured bacterium. Its description in RNAcentral is "bacterial SSU rRNA". It matches the Rfam family "Bacterial small subunit ribosomal RNA", at positions 335 to 937 of the family's 1533-position model. The record is from RNAcentral.
CACCUACGGGAGGCAGCAGUCGAGAAUAUUCGACAAUGGGCGAAAGCCUGAUCGAGCGACGCCGCGUGCUUGAUGAAGCCCUUCGGGGUGUAAAGAGCUUUUUCCGCUGAGGAAACCGUAAGGUUGACAGUAAGCGGAGAAUAAGGGGCUGCUAAUCACGUGCCAGCAGCCGCGGUAAUACGUGAGCCCCAAGCGUUAUCCGGAUUUAUUGGGCGUAAAAAGUCUGUAGGCGACUUAUUAAGUUUCUCGUUAAAGUUUUAAGGCUCAACCUUAAAAAUGCGAGGAAAACUAAUAAGAUAGAGAAUGUCAGAGGUUGACGGAACGGUCGGUGUAGGGGUGAAAUCCAUUGAUAUCGACCGGAACACCAAAUGCGAAGGCAGUCAACUGGGGCAUUUCUGACGCUGAGAGACGAAAGCGUGGGUAGCAAAAAGGAUUAGAUACCCUUGUAGUCCACGCCCUAAACUAUGGACACUAGCUAUUUGAAGUGUCGACCCUUCAAGUGGCGAAGCUAACGCGUUAAGUGUCCUGCCUGGGAAGUACGGCCGCAAGGCUAAAACUCAAAAGAAUAGACGGGGCUUCACACAAGCGGUGGAG